This 370-nucleotide ribosomal RNA is filed under the name uncultured organism. Its description in RNAcentral is "bacterial SSU rRNA". It matches the Rfam family "Bacterial small subunit ribosomal RNA", at positions 526 to 896 of the family's 1533-position model. The record is from RNAcentral.
CGAAGGGGGCUAGCGUUGUUCGGAAUUACUGGGCGUAAAGGGCGCGUAGGCGGCCCGUUUAGUCGGAAGUGAAAGCCCCGGGCUCAACCUGGGAAUUGCUUUCGAUACUGGCGGGCUUGAGUUCCGGAGAGGAUGGUGGAAUUCCCAGUGUAGAGGUGAAAUUCGUAGAUAUUGGGAAGAACACCGGUGGCGAAGGCGGCCAUCUGGACGGACACUGACGCUGAGGCGCGAAAGCGUGGGGAGCAAACAGGAUUAGAUACCCUGGUAGUCCGCGCCGUAAACGAUGAAUGCUAGACGUCGGGGUGCAUGCACUUCGGUGUCGCCGCUAACGCAUUAAGCAUUCCGCCUGGGGAGUACGGCCGCAAGGUUA